Molecule: long non-coding RNA, 544 nt
Filed under: Pan troglodytes (chimpanzee)
Lineage: Eukaryota; Metazoa; Chordata; Mammalia; Primates; Hominidae
Description: lncRNA (ENSPTRG00000053643.1)
Source: RNAcentral
AAGAGGGUGAGACUCUGAGAAGUGUGCAAGAAGAAAACAUAUUUGGUGUUAUGGCUUCAUCUCUUUCAAAGGAGUGGAAACUGGGCCAAAAUCAGACAGUGCCAGACAGUGUUGACAAGAAGAUGAAAAAGACUACAAAGAUAUAGUAAACGGAAAAUUUGGAUUAGUGAAUCUACUAAAUAAGAUGAGAUACAUCAAGGGACAUGGUGACAGAAUCAACUCAGAUUUAAUCCACUGAAUCUGCUUGCCAUGGGACUAAGAGGCAGGAGAAUGUCAGGAAUGACCCAGCACAUGCCUGGUUGUGCAAGAGCCACCUCCUGCUCUUUCCGGAGCCAAGCCUGGGCCCUAUAAAAGACACAUCCAGCUUCAGCACUUCAUCUGCUCUGACUCCCCAGGGACGUGUCUGUGCUCCUGCGUGUGACGAGGGUGAGUGGCAACCUGGGAUACCAGAGGGGUAUGAGCAAGGCAGAGGGAUGGGGAGGAUGGAGGUAGGCUGGAGAAAGAGUGGUGUGCUUGUGUUCUGCCAUACUGAGCAGGAAUGGGA